UAACUUUAAUAUGUUGAUAUAAAUUGCCAUACAAAAAUAUGCUAAUAAUUUUGCAUUGUAGUUGUACUUUCCACUUAGGCUAAAGCAAAUUAGGACAAUAAAUGCCAGGUAUCUUUUUAAAUUAAUGAAUUUUUUUGAUUUGGUAAACAUGCCACAGUGCACAUUCCCUGGCUCUCUGCCCUGAGGCCACCAUGGAGCUGGAUUUGGAAAGGCUGCAACCUGACUCUAAUGUGUUGUGAAUGAGAGACCUGAGCUCGGAUUAAGACCGCCGCGGCUGGCCUGCCCCACAACCAAUGUGCACAUGGGGAUCCAAGGGGCUCCUUGUGGCACAUGUGAAACACAACCUUAAAAUAUCACACACACUAAGACGGUGCAAGCACCAACUAAACGCCCUGUGAGUGAAUCAAAACAGGAAAAGACAUGCAGCCUGUCCUAUCCACCGUCCUGCUUGCAGACCAUUUUAUUUGGAGAAAUUGCAGAGGCACAAACAACUCGAGUGUCUGUGCGACCACACGCUCCGCCUCUCAGUCAAUCCAGACAAAUUCUAUGACUUGUGCUGAAGCUUUUAAGCUGUAAUUGAGCACAGGAUGCAAAACCAAAGCCAGCUCUGUACAGGCCUGCGUUUUUAUAGCUGCUAUAGUAUUCUGCUGCGUUUUUUUCUCCCCGGCCAGACAGACACCACAAAACAGGCCAAGCGUGAAAGGAAGUCGCCACCUACACGGACUCAAAGUCAGCAGCUGAGGAUUUUAAACGACACAGAAACAUGUGUCUGUACACAACUAAGGUGACAGAAAUGUGGGCCGACCGCGAUGGCGACGACUGAUGCGGACCACACAGAGGCCAUGCAGAGGAAGUGACCAACUCCACGGUCAACGGGAGCACCUCUGACUCCCCAAUGGGGACAAUGCUGGAUCAGCCUACAGAGGGUAUCCUGGGAAACAAGGCGUCAGCAGGAGCGGGCCUGCAUGGACAAAAGGACAUAAACUAGACUUCAGUGGGGGAAUAAAUGAAAUUAUACAAAGGAAAAAAA
Etheostoma spectabile (orangethroat darter) is the source of this 1030-nucleotide long non-coding RNA. RefSeq lists it as uncharacterized. The transcript has 2 exons. Lineage: Eukaryota; Metazoa; Chordata; Actinopteri; Perciformes; Percidae. The record is from RefSeq and is a predicted model, not a curated record.